AAGACUAUAUUUUCAGGGAUCGUUUUUUUGGUUGGUGACUUGAGAAAUGUGUUUCUAAAGAGUUUGGUCUCGCUGUCCAUGAUAAAGAGUUCAGAUGUUUCAUUCAGAGACGGAAACUCGUAAAAAGAAUCAGUUUCUUCCCUGCUGUUAAAGACUGUUCAGAGUUUCUUAAAGUCUCUCUGAUAGGGGAAACGUGAUCUGAGUGGG
Molecule: small nucleolar RNA, 207 nt
Organism: Labrus bergylta (ballan wrasse)
Lineage: Eukaryota; Metazoa; Chordata; Actinopteri; Labriformes; Labridae
Product: small nucleolar RNA U3
Source: RefSeq, a predicted model, not a curated record